AAGACCUUGCACUUUUGGAGCGGCCGAUGUCUGAUUAGCUAGUUGGUGGGGUAAUGGCCUACCAAAGCUUCGAUCAGUAGCUGGUCUGAGAGGACGGCCAGCCACACUGGGACUGAGACACGGCCCAGACUCCUACGGGAGGCAGCAGUGGGGAAUUUUGGACAAUGGGCGCAAGCCUGAUCCAGCCAUGCCGCGUGAGUGAAGAAGGCCUUCGGGUUGUAAAGCUCUUUCAGCCGGGAAGAAAAGGUUGCGACUAAUAAUCGCAAUCCAUGACGGUACCGAAAGAAGAAGCACCGGCUAACUACGUGCCAGCAGCCGCGGUAAUACGUAGGGUGCGAGCGUUAAUCGGAAUUAUUGGGCGUAAAGGGUGCGCAGGCGGUUUUGUAAGUCAGAUGUGAAAUCCCCGGGCUUAACCUGGGAACU
This 423-nucleotide ribosomal RNA is filed under the name uncultured bacterium. RNAcentral describes it as "bacterial SSU rRNA". It matches the Rfam family "Bacterial small subunit ribosomal RNA", at positions 207 to 622 of the family's 1533-position model. The record is from RNAcentral.